CCUACGGGAGGCAGCAGUGGGGACUAUUGGGCAAUGGGCGCAAGCCUGACCCAGCAACGCCGCGUGAAGGAAGAAGGCUUUCGGGUUGUAACCUUCUUUUGUCAGGGAAGAGUAGAAGACGGUACCUGACGAAUAAGCCACGGCUAACUACGUGCCAGCAGCCGCGGUAAUACGUAGGUGGCAAGCGUUGUCCGGAUUUACUGGGUGUAAAGGGCGUGUAGCCGGGUUGACAAGUCAGAUGUGAAAUCCUGCGGCUUAACCGCAGAACUGCAUUUGAAACUGUUGAUCUUGAGUACUGGAGAGGCAGACGGAAUUCCUAGUGUAGCGGUGAAAUGCGUAGAUAUUAGGAGGAACACCAGUGGCGAAGGCGGUCUGCUGGACAGCAACUGACGGUGAGGCGCGAAAGCGUGGGGAGCAAACAGGAUGAGAUACCCCAGUAGUC
Molecule: ribosomal RNA, 442 nt
Filed under: uncultured bacterium
Lineage: Bacteria
Description: partial 16S ribosomal RNA
Rfam family: Bacterial small subunit ribosomal RNA
Source: RNAcentral